Molecule: non-coding RNA, 902 nt
Organism: Pelobates cultripes (western spadefoot toad)
Lineage: Eukaryota; Metazoa; Chordata; Amphibia; Anura; Pelobatidae
Source: the annotation of a GenBank genome assembly
CUGCUAAUACCCUUGGGGAUGUAUCAAGAAAAUCUCAAGAUGAAAAUUAUAUUAAUCAUGAAAUUUCAGAUGUGGAUUCUGACCUAACCAACAAAGUUAAUAGAACACAGAGUGAUUCUCAAAAUAUUUGUCAAUGGUGUGGCAAAUCUUUUGCCACUGUCAGUAAACUUGUCAAGCACAAGAUGCUUCACACAAAGGAGAAAAUAUUUGUGUGUUCUGAAUGUGAGAAAUGUUUUUCAUAUCAGUCAGCUCUUGAAAAGCACCAGAGAAUUCAUACUGGUGUAAAACCAUUUGCAUGUUCUGAGUGUGACAAAUGUUUUACCCAGAGUGGACAUCUUGCUUUGCAUAAAAGACAUCACACAGGAGAGAAGCCAUAUGUUUGCACUGAAUGUGGAAGGUGUUUUGCAAGGAACACACAUCUGGUUGGACACCAGAGGGUUCACACUGGUGUUAAGCCAUUUAAUUGUUCUGAAUGUGGGAAAAGUUUUAGUAUGAAAGGUAGUCUGGAUUCUCAUUGCAGACGCCACACAGGAGAGAAACCAUUUGUGUGUUAUGAGUGUGGAAAAGCUUAUAUUAGUAGUUCUGCACUUAGAGCACAUAAAAACAUGCAUAUACAAAUUAAAAGAUUUACAUGUACCGAGUGUCCUAAAGGUUAUUCAUCUAAAGUACUUUUUAUUAGACAUCAGAAAUCCCAUACUGGAUUAAAACAUUAAAGAGUAACUGUGCAUAGAGUAAUCCUUGCUGGUAUGUAAAAAAAUCACCUUUCUGUCUCUGAACCAAGGCCACCUUCUACCUCAGACCUAUCCUUUUUUAGUGUAGAAUUGAGUGAAGCAUGGAGCCAUUGGCUCUGCCAUUGGUCAGUUGUUGCCAGCAUGUUAUGGGUGCUGACAAAUGACUCAGAA